This 669-nucleotide long non-coding RNA is filed under the name Olea europaea (common olive). RNAcentral describes it as "long non-coding RNA (OEUR_LNC008003)". The record is from RNAcentral. Lineage: Eukaryota; Viridiplantae; Streptophyta; Magnoliopsida; Lamiales; Oleaceae.
CAUUUGGUAGCAAUCGCUUAUAUUGUGAAGAAUCGAAAUGUUUAUUUGUACAAUCUUUCGGAAAUGAGAUGUCGUCAACUCUUUUUGGACCCAUUUUAACUAGGUAAUCUCUUGUUCUUUGAUCAACGAUUUUCCAAUUCCCAGGAUCAUCCAAAUUUAGAGAAAAGCAAUCAUCUUCUUCCUUAUCAUCUACUUCAUUAACAAGGGCAGGUUUCAUCACUUCUUCUUCCUUAUCAUCUACUUCAUUAACAAGGGCAGGUUUCAUCACUUCUUCUUCCUUAUCAUCUACUUCAUUAACAAGGGCAGGUUUCAUCACUUCUUCUUCCUUAUCAUCUACUUCAUUAAUAUAGACAGGUUGAUUCACUUCUUCAUUCUUAUCAUCUACUUCGUUAACAUGGGCAUGUUGAAUCUCUACUUCAUCCUCAUUCAACGCAUUCACAUUGUUGCUUUUGAAAUACUUGCCAAUAUCCCUUGCUUGACUUUCAAUUAAUACAAUUUCAUUUCGUUUCCUUUUUUUCUCUUGAGCACCAGACUCAUAUUUAGGAGACAUAGUGUAUGAAUCCAUAUCUAAUGCUCAAUGAUUAACCUGAAAAAUAAUUACAAAAUAUCUCAAUCAUACCACAAUUACAAUUUUCAAUAUAGUUACUACGUGCAUAAGUGCAAUUGUUC